RNAcentral lists this ribosomal RNA (192 nucleotides) under Triticum aestivum (bread wheat). Its description in RNAcentral is "partial small subunit ribosomal RNA". Lineage: Eukaryota; Viridiplantae; Streptophyta; Magnoliopsida; Poales; Poaceae. The record is from RNAcentral.
AUGCAUCUGAGCGAGAACGUGGGGAUCGAGGAAGUGUGGUUUAUGAUGACUAGCGGGCAGGGCUUCGCCGGCGUUGCCAUAUGUCUGGAGCUGAUCCGCCGUGAUGCGCUGGAGGUCUGCUCCCUCGAUCUGCUUGAUUCAUCCUCCUGGUCACGUCGGCGUCAACUUCUUCAAGGCAAUGAUUCGAAGUAG